GUGUCAGCAGCCGCGGUAACACGUAGGGGGCGAGCGUUGUCCGGAUUUAUUGGGCGUAAAGAGCUCGUAGGCGGCUCGGUAAGUGAGGUGUGAAAACUCCAGGCUCAACCUGGAGACGCCACCUCAUACUGCCGUGGCUAGAGUCCGGUAGGGGAGCAUGGAAUUCCUGGUGUAGCGGUGAAAUGCGCAGAUAUCAGGAGGAACACCAGUGGCGAAGGCGGUGCUCUGGGCCGGAACUGACGCUGAGGAGCGAAAGCGUGGGGAGCAAACAGGAUUAGAAACCCUUGUAGUCC
Molecule: ribosomal RNA, 293 nt
Filed under: uncultured bacterium
Lineage: Bacteria
Description: partial 16S ribosomal RNA
Rfam family: Bacterial small subunit ribosomal RNA
Source: RNAcentral